Molecule: unclassified non-coding RNA, 442 nt
Filed under: Hevea brasiliensis (rubber tree)
Lineage: Eukaryota; Viridiplantae; Streptophyta; Magnoliopsida; Malpighiales; Euphorbiaceae
Source: RNAcentral
GGGGUGUGUGGUACAGUUUUGAGGCCUGGUGGGGGAAUUGGGCUCUGGUCUGGGCUGACACUCUUGUGCCAAAAGAUUAAACAAUUCUUUGAAAAAGGGGCACCUGGCAAUGUUCCUACAACAGUGCCAAAGGAUUCAGUUUGAGUAUGUAUAAUAAUUGGUCUGGUCCUGUUUAUAUUCUUUUAUAAAUCUGUUUAUUUUGAACAAACCAUGUUUUUCAUUUGCAGAAUGAUCGGAGAUCUUUAAAACCAUAUAUAAUAGAGAAGUUAAAAUAGAGAUAAUAUUUAUGGGGGAAAGGAGGGAAAAAAAAAGACAAUGAGAGAGCUCUCUAGGAGGCUGGGAGGGAAAACUAUAUGCCACUUUCAUUUGGUUAUCUAAAUUUUCUAUUCUUUACACUAAUUUUAUUUCCUAUGUCAUGUUAGAUUCUAUCUGAAGAUUUGCC